RNAcentral lists this small nuclear RNA (368 nucleotides) under Cercocebus atys (sooty mangabey). RNAcentral describes it as "7SK RNA (ENSCATG00000019546.1)". It matches the Rfam family "7SK RNA". Rfam says of the family: 7SK was discovered as an abundant small nuclear RNA in the mid-70s but a possible function has only recently been suggested. Two independent studies have found that 7SK RNA binds the CDK9/cyclin T complex (known as elongation factor P-TEFb). The record is from RNAcentral. Lineage: Eukaryota; Metazoa; Chordata; Mammalia; Primates; Cercopithecidae.
AGAUGUGAGGGCUGUCUGGCUGUGGCAUCUGUCACCCCGUUGAUAGCCAGGGUUGAUUUGGCUGAAUUGGCUGGCUAGGUGGGUGUCCCCUUCUUCCCUCACCAUUUCAUGUGGAUCGCUCCCGAAGCUGCACGCUCAGUUGAACAGAAUGACCAUCAAAGAGGACAACCAUCCCCGAAGAGGAGGACAGUCUUCAGUCAAGGAUAUAAGAGUAGCUGUACUCUCCUGCUAGAACCUUCAAACAAGCUCUCAGGGUCCAUUUGUAGGGGAACAUGGGGCAGUCAAGCUUCCAAGACUCCAAAUACAUCCAAAUGAGGUGCUGCAUUGGUGAGCUUUGAAUUUUUAUAAGAUGGAAAUAUCCUUAUUUU